GGUGACCUGCGGAAGGAUCAUUACCGAGUGCGGGCCCCUCGGGGCCCAACCUCCCACCCGUGUUGCCCGAACCUAUGUUGCCUCGGCGGGCCCCGCGCCCGCCGACGGCCCCCCUGAACGCUGUCUGAAGUUGCAGUCUGAGACCUAUAACGAAAUUAGUUAAAACUUUCAACAACGGAUCUCUUGGUUCCGGCAUCGAUGAAGAACGCAGCGAAAUGCGAUAACUAAUGUGAAUUGCAGAAUUCAGUGAAUCAUCGAGUCUUUGAACGCACAUUGCGCCCUCUGGUAUUCCGGAGGGCAUGCCUGUCCGAGCGUCAUUGCUGCCCUCAAGCCCGGCUUGUGUGUUGGGCCCCGUCCCCCCCGCCGGGGGGACGGGCCCGAAAGGCAGCGGCGGCACCGCGUCCGGUCCUCGAGCGUAUGGGGCUUCGUCACCCGCUCUAGUAGGCCCGGCCGGCGCCAGCCGACCCCCAACCUUUAAUUAUCUCAGGUUGACCUCGGAUCAGGUAGGGAUACCCGCUGAACUUAAGCAUAUCAAUAAGCGGAGGAAAAGAAACCAACCGGGAUUGCCCUAGUAACGGCGAGUGAAGCGGCAAGAGCUCAAAUUUGAAAGCUGGCCCCCUCGGGGUCCGCA
Molecule: ribosomal RNA, 631 nt
Filed under: fungal endophyte
Lineage: Eukaryota; Fungi
Description: eukaryotic LSU rRNA
Rfam family: 5.8S ribosomal RNA (bases 164-317)
Source: RNAcentral